UUGCUUCCUUUGGCAUCACAUACACUAAAACUGGAAUGUUACAGAGAGGAUAAGAAUUGCCCACGUACAAGGAUGACAUACAAAUUUGUGAAUUGUUGCCAUUGGUC
Acomys russatus (golden spiny mouse) is the source of this 107-nucleotide small nuclear RNA. The record is from RefSeq and is a predicted model, not a curated record. Lineage: Eukaryota; Metazoa; Chordata; Mammalia; Rodentia; Muridae.